Molecule: ribosomal RNA, 261 nt
Filed under: uncultured bacterium
Lineage: Bacteria
Description: partial 16S ribosomal RNA
Rfam family: Bacterial small subunit ribosomal RNA
Source: RNAcentral
GUCCACGCCCUAAACGAUGUCUACUAGUUGUCGGGUCUUAAUUGACUUGGUAACGCAGCUAACGCGUGAAGUAGACCGCCUGGGGAGUACGGUCGCAAGAUUAAACUCAAAGGAAUUGACGGGACCCGCACAAGCGGUGGAUGAUGUGGAUUAAUUCGAUGCAACGCGAAAACCUUACCUACCCUUGACAUGUACGGAAGCUUUGAGAGAUCAGAGUGUGCUCGAAAGAGAGCCGUAACACAGGUGCUGCAUGGCUGUCGU